AUAAGUGAAAUAAGGGCGUAUGGGGGAUGCCUAGGCUCUUGGAGGCGAAGAAGGACGUGUUAAGCUGCGAUAAGCCCUGGGGAACUGCACAAGAGUGUUGAUCCGGGGAUUUCCGAAUGGGGCAACCCACUGGAUGGAAGAUCCAGUAUCCUAAAAUAGGAGGCAAACCUGCUGAACUGAAACAUCUAAGUAAGCAGAGGAAGAGAAAACAAAAGUGAUUCCGUAAGUAGUGGCGAGCGAAAGCGGAUUAGCCCAAACCAGUAUUGUUUAGGCAAGACUGGGGUUGUAGGACUUCGAUAUCUGUACAUAAGAGGAACAAGAACUGUCUGGGAAGGCAGGCCGAAGGAGGUGAGAGCCCUGUAUUGGUAAGACUUGUGUAUAGUAGGAGUAUCCUGAGUAGGGGGGAGCUGGUGAAACUCCCUUUGAAUCUGCCGGCACCAUCCGGUAAGGCUAAAUACUACCAAGAGACCGAUAGUGAACGAGUACUGUGAAGGAAAGGUGAAAAGUACCCUGAGUAAGGGGGUGAAAAGACCCUGAAACCAUACGCUUACAAGCGGUCGGAGCCCAGUAAUUGGGUGACGGCGUGCCUUUUGCAUAAUGAGCCUACGAGUUACUUUUUCUGGCGAGGUUAAUCACGUAGACGUGAGCAGCCGGAGCGAAAGCGAGUCUGAAUAGGGCGCUUAGUCAGAGGGAGUAGACGCGAAACUUUGUGAUCUACCCAUGAGCAGGUUGAAGCUCCGAUAACACGGAGUGGAGGACCGAACCAGUUUACGUUGAAAAGUAUUUGGAUGACUUGUGGGUAGGGGUGAAAGGCCAAUCAAACUGAGAAAUAGCUCGUACUCCCCGAAAUGUUUUUAGGAACAGCCUCGGGGUUAAGUUUUAAGCAGGUAAAGCUACCGAUAGGACUAGGGGGAGUCAAAUCCUACCAAAUCCUGACGAACUCUGAAUGGCUUAAAAUAUACCCGGGAGUGAGGGCUAGGGUGCUAAGGUCCUAGUCCGAGAGGGAAAGAACCCAGACCAACAGCUAAGGUCCCUAAAUUUUUACUAAGUUGAACAAAGGAGGUCUGAUUGCAGUGACAGCCAGGAUGUUAGCUUGGAAGCAGCUAUUCAUUUAAAGAGUGCGUAACAGCUCACUGGUCGAGCGAGGCGGGCAUCGAUAAUAAACGGGCAUCAAGUAAAAUACCGAAGCUUUGGAUUGUAUGUAAAUACACUGGUAGGGGAGCAUUCUGAUAGCGGUGAAGGUGAAGCGACAAGCUUUGUUGGAGCGAUCAGAAAAGCAAAUGUAGGCAUGAGUAACGAUAAUGAAGGCGAGAAACCUUCACGCCGAAAGACUAAGGAUUCCUCAGCUAUGCUAAUCAACUGAGGGUUAGUCGGGGGCUAAGGGUCUAGCGAGAGCGACAACCUAAUGCACAGCAGGUUAAUAUUCCUGCACUUACUUAUAGGGGGCGUAGAUGACGGAGAGAGAGGCUUAUCAGGUACUGACGGAAUAGUGCCUUUGAGUUGCGGCAGCAAUGCCAAAGCGAGUAUAGGGAUUGAUCUUCCAAGAAAAGUCUGCAACUUUAACUUAUGAGUAACCCGUACCGUAAACCGACACAGGUGGUCGAGAAGAAUAUUCUAAGGCGCUCGAGUGAAUCACGGCUAAGGAACUCGGCAAAUUAACCCUGUAACUUCGGGAUAAAGGGAGCCUCGAGUAAUCGAGGCCGCAGAGAAAUGGCCCAGGCGACUGUUUAACAAAAACACAUGGCUUUGCAAAAUCGAAAGAUGACGUAUAAGGCCUGACACCUGCCCGGUGCUGGAAGGUUAAGGGGGGAUGUUAGCCGCAAGGCGAAGCAUUGAACUGAAGCCCCAGUAAACGGCGGCCGUAACUAUAACGGUCCUAAGGUAGCGAAAUUCCUUGUCGGGUAAGUUCCGACCUGCACGAAUGGCGUAACGAUGGCCACACUGUCUCCUCCAGAGACUCAGCGAAGUUGAAAUGUUUGUGAUGAUGCAAUCUCCCCGCGGAAAGACGGAAAGACCCCAUGAACCUUUACUGUAGCUUUACAUUGGACUUUGAACAGAUCUGUGUAGGAUAGGUGGGAGGCUUUGAAGUGAGGAUGCUAGUUCUCAUGGAGCCGACGUUGAAAUACCACCCUGGUGUGUUUGAGGUUCUAACCUUGGCCCGUGAUCCGGGUUGGGGACAGUGUAUGGUGGGCAGUUUGACUGGGGCGGUCUCCUCCCAAAGUGUAACGGAGGAGUUCGAAGGUACGCUAAAUACGGUCGGAAAUCGUGUUGAUAGUGCAUUGGCAUAAGCGUGCUUGACUGCGAGACUGACAAGUCGAGCAGGUACGAAAGUAGGACAAAGUGAUCCGGUGGUUCUGUAUGGAAGGGCCAUCGCUCAACGGAUAAAAGGUACUCUGGGGAUAACAGGCUGAUACCGCCCAAGAGUUCAUAUCGACGGCGGUGUUUGGCACCUCGAUGUCGGCUCAU
This 2466-nucleotide ribosomal RNA is filed under the name freshwater metagenome. Its description in RNAcentral is "bacterial LSU rRNA". It matches the Rfam family "Bacterial large subunit ribosomal RNA", at positions 1 to 2540 of the family's 2925-position model. The record is from RNAcentral.